This 386-nucleotide long non-coding RNA is filed under the name Homo sapiens (human). Its description in RNAcentral is "HSALNT0218431". Lineage: Eukaryota; Metazoa; Chordata; Mammalia; Primates; Hominidae. The record is from RNAcentral.
CUACCACAAACAGAAGUCUGGAAAGUGAAAAUUUAUUUCCUUUUCACCAUGACCAGCCUUGUUCAGGACAUCUGAGAGGCACAGACCUGAGAAAGAAUCCCCAGGCUGAAGAGGUAGAAGUUGGCAGAAGUUAAAAGCAAUGUCUCCACAAUGGAGAAGUGACAUGCUAAAGGAACCUGGCAUCUAGACAUUUCCUAACCCCCAAUCCCUCCUUACAUAUGACCUGCUCUUAGAGGAGUACAGCGUGGUGGUUAGGAGUGUGGACUCGGCAGCCAGAAAUCCUGGGAUCUGUUGCUUGUUAGCUGUGGGCCUUAAGCUAAGAACUUAACCUCUCUGUGCCUCAGUUGCUCCAUCUGUUCAAAUGAAGAUAAUGAUAAUGAAGAUGA